CAAAAUGUAGUUUAACUAAAACCCCUCGCUUACACCGAGACAAUAUCUAAUAAAUAUAGAUCANNNGGA
RNAcentral lists this transfer RNA (69 nucleotides) under Heterixalus boettgeri (Boettiger's reed frog). RNAcentral's name for it is "tRNA-Val". Lineage: Eukaryota; Metazoa; Chordata; Amphibia; Anura; Hyperoliidae. The record is from RNAcentral.